RNAcentral lists this small RNA (68 nucleotides) under Xanthomonas albilineans GPE PC73. Its description in RNAcentral is "int-alpA RNA". It matches the Rfam family "int-alpA RNA". From Rfam's summary of the family: Acidobacteria (1 example), Planctomycetes (1 example), Proteobacteria. Environment (Lake Washington) Lineage: Bacteria; Pseudomonadati; Pseudomonadota; Gammaproteobacteria; Lysobacterales; Lysobacteraceae. The record is from Rfam by way of RNAcentral.
ACCACGGCCAGGACGGCCAUCCGAAAGCGGGAAACCCUCACCCGUUGCCGUGGUGUUCCUUUGAAGGG